UACGUAGGUGGCGAGCGUUGUCCGGAUUUACUGGGCGUAAAGAGCGCGCAGGCGGUCGUUCAAGUCGCGUGUGAAAGCCCCCGGCUCAACUGGGGAGGGUCACGCGAUACUGAUCGACUCGAAGGCAGGAGAGGGAAGUGGAAUUCCCGGUGUAGUGGUGAAAUGCGUAGAUAUCGGGAGGAACACCAGUGGCGAAGGCGACUACCUGGCCUGUUCUUGACGCUGAGGCGCGAAAGCUGGGGGAGCAAACGGG
RNAcentral lists this ribosomal RNA (253 nucleotides) under uncultured bacterium. RNAcentral describes it as "partial 16S ribosomal RNA". It matches the Rfam family "Bacterial small subunit ribosomal RNA", at positions 524 to 776 of the family's 1533-position model. The record is from RNAcentral.